Molecule: ribosomal RNA, 505 nt
Filed under: Tramea sp. RF1749
Lineage: Eukaryota; Metazoa; Arthropoda; Insecta; Odonata; Libellulidae
Description: partial 16S rRNA
Rfam family: Bacterial large subunit ribosomal RNA
Source: RNAcentral
GUCCUUUUGAAUUUUAUAGAAGGUCUGACCUGCCCAGUGAUAAUUUUAACGGCCGCGGUAUACUGACCGUGCAAAGGUAGCAUAAUCAUUAGUCUUUUAAUAGAGGGCUGGAAUGAAAGGUUUAACGAGGAAUUGACUGUCUCAUUUUAUUUGUUUUAGAAUUUAAUUUUUUAGUCAAAAAGCUAAAAUCUUAUUGGAAGACGAGAAGACCCUAUAGAUCUUUAUAAAACUUUAUUUGAUUAUUUUUAUAUUAUUUUAUUUAAAUGAUUUUUUAUUUUGUUGGGGUGACAAAAAUAUAUAUAAAACUUUUUUAUUUAUUUAACAUUAAUUUAUGAUUAUUAGAUCCAUUAUUAGUGAUUGAUAGACUAAGUUACCUUAGGGAUAACAGCGUAAUCCUCCUCCAGAGUUCAUAUUUACAGGAUGGGCUUGCGACCUCGAUGUUGGAUUAAGAUGAUAGUUAGGUGUAGCCGCUUAAUUUAUAGGUCUGUUCGACCUUUAAACUCUU